AUUAAUUAGUUAGACAUGCCUGAAUCAGGAGGUGGUGGUGCCAUCAGUUACUACAGGCAUUUCGUCUGGCAAGCCAACAGUCAGUCACCAAACCAAUGAUCCAACCGGAUCUAAACGUUAUGGAGGUCACCCCAUCUGUGCCAGACGUCAUGGAGAUCACCCCAGCUAUGAGAAUCCAUAAAGGACUCGGCUGUGAUGAAACAGAUUCUGCUCACUGUGACUGGGUGAAGGAGUACCGAACCCACUUUGCUGGGAAAGUUCACCUUCCACAGGUCACAAGAAUGAACGAGGAUGAUCAUUGACCAAUAACUGUC
This is a long non-coding RNA of Triplophysa rosa, 314 nucleotides long. RefSeq lists it as uncharacterized. Lineage: Eukaryota; Metazoa; Chordata; Actinopteri; Cypriniformes; Nemacheilidae. The record is from RefSeq and is a predicted model, not a curated record. The transcript is spliced from 3 exons.